Molecule: transfer RNA, 73 nt
Filed under: Pangasianodon hypophthalmus (striped catfish)
Lineage: Eukaryota; Metazoa; Chordata; Actinopteri; Siluriformes; Pangasiidae
Description: tRNA-Glu
Source: RNAcentral
UCCCUGGAGGACUAGUGGUUAAGCCUUCGGGGCUCUCACCGCUGCGGCUUGGGUUCGAUUCCCAGGCAGGGGU